UACGUAGGCAGCAAGCGUUGUUCGGAUUUACUGGGCGUAAAGGGUGUGUAGGCGGUUGUUUAAGUUUGGUGUGAAAUCUCCCGGCUCAACCGGGAGGGUGCGCCGAAUACUGAAUGACUAGAGUGCGGGAGAGGAAAGUGGAAUUCCUGGUGUAGCGGUGAAAUGCGUAGAUAUCAGGAGGGACACCGGUGGUGUAGACGGCUUUCUGGACCGUAACUGACGCUGAGACACGAAAGCGUGGGUAGCAAACAGG
Molecule: ribosomal RNA, 253 nt
Filed under: uncultured bacterium
Lineage: Bacteria
Description: partial 16S ribosomal RNA
Rfam family: Bacterial small subunit ribosomal RNA
Source: RNAcentral